AAUAAGAUAAGCUAAAGAAGCUAUUGGGCUCAUACCUCAAAUAUGAGAAUUUUUUUCUCUCUUAUUA
This 67-nucleotide transfer RNA is filed under the name Lepidozona coreanica. RNAcentral describes it as "tRNA-Met". Lineage: Eukaryota; Metazoa; Mollusca; Polyplacophora; Chitonida; Ischnochitonidae. The record is from RNAcentral.